CUCUCUCUCUCUCUCUCUCUCUCUCUCUCUCUCUCUCUCUCUCUCUCUCUCUCUCUCUCUCUCUCUCUCUCCACAAUCAACAUAUUACUUCUUGUCCUCUUUGCCUCAUUGGCAUUGAAACUCUAGACCAUCUUUUUAUGCAAUGUCAUUUUUCUCAUUUUGUUUAGACACUACUGCAUGUUUGGUACCCAAGAUAAGCUGGGCUUGGACUAUUUUAGCUUAAAAAUUAGUCCUUGUCCUAUGUUUGGUGGAGACUGGGACUCAAUUAAAUGAGUUUGUGAGUCCCCAUGUCCUCUCCACACCGUGCUACAUAGAGACCCCAAUUUUGGGGGGUUUACAUAAGCGCGACCUCUCUCUCGUUCUCUUCUUCACUUCGCUGCGCUCCUCCUCGUCUCUCUCAACUUCGCUGCUCCUCACUUUGCUUUGCUUCAAUUCGUCAACUGCUCCAGGUACUUUCUCUUUCUCUUAGUCUCUCAUCUUCAACCCCUCUUUGUUGUUCAUUUUAUUUUUUGGAUAUUCGAUUUGGAAAUCAAGAUCGAUUAUCUUUUGAAAUUGUUUGUGGGUGUUUGAUGGAAUAGAAGAUUUUGGGGGUUGAAAAUCUGAGGUCAAUUUGAUCCUUUGGGCUCAUCUCUGUGUUGAAUAUGUGGGCAAAUCAAGUUUCCAGGUCGACCCGACAGGAACAAGAAUUCAGGGAUGAGAUUAAUCAAGGUAAUCACGAACUCUCAAGUUGGGGUUCCCUUAUUCCAUAUCAAAUUGACCAACACUACCAGGACAAGCACUUUAGCCGACGAAAAAUUUUCGUCAGCCUGUUAGCUUAAUUCGUCGGCUAAGAUUUCGUCGGGAAAAGGUCGUCUGUGGUAACUUUAGCCGACGACACAUGAAGAAGUCGGUUAUCUUCCCAGACUUUAGCCGACGAAACAUUUAAGAUAUUCGUCGGCUAUAGUCCUAGAGUUUAGCCGACGAAAAACAUGUCGUCGGUUUUUCUCAGACUUUAGCCGAUGAAACAUUUAAGAUAUUCGUCGGCUAAAGUGUGUAAUAAAAAAAUAAAAAAUAACUAAAAGCCGACG
Molecule: long non-coding RNA, 1067 nt
Filed under: Fragaria vesca (wild strawberry)
Lineage: Eukaryota; Viridiplantae; Streptophyta; Magnoliopsida; Rosales; Rosaceae
Description: long non-coding RNA (FVES_LNC004259)
Source: RNAcentral